AGUCGUAACAAGGUAGCCGUACCGGAAGGUGCGGCUGGAUCACCUCCUUUCUAAGGAGCAUCUGGUCAGUGCUGGUCGCCCAUUGUGGGUGGUUGGUUGCUGGUCCAGGCGCCUGUUUCGGACCGAACGUGUCCGACGGGUAGCUCAUGGGUGGAACAUUGACAGUGCAGUUGGGAGUGAUGCUUCCGACCUCAGUACGCUCUGCUUGCAGGGUUGGGACGGGUCGGGGGUGGAGCGCUCAGCUGGUGCACGUUGUUGGGUCCUGAGGGACCAGGCUUCCUGCUGCUACGUGAGUGGUGGUGGGGGUUGGGCCUACGGGUCCUUCGUCGGGCCAGUGUGAUCCUGCUGUUGUGGUGGGGGAGUGCUGGUGCCGAUCGUAUGUUGAGAACUACACAGUGGACGCGAGCAUCUUUGAUUCGCGUCAUCCAUGAUCAGCCUUCGGUUGUUGAGUGGUGACGUUGGAUCGCAAUUUUAAAUCUUUUGUGGUCAAAGUUUCUAAGAACAAAACGGUGGGAUCCCUUGGGCAC
This 527-nucleotide unclassified non-coding RNA is filed under the name Curtobacterium flaccumfaciens pv. oortii. RNAcentral describes it as "partial 16S-23S ribosomal RNA intergenic spacer". The stretch from base 1 to 50 matches the Rfam family "Bacterial small subunit ribosomal RNA", at positions 1484 to 1533 of the family's 1533-position model. The record is from RNAcentral. Lineage: Bacteria; Bacillati; Actinomycetota; Actinomycetes; Micrococcales; Microbacteriaceae.